GAAGUAAAAGUCGUAACAAGGUUUCCGUAGGUGAACCUGCGGAAGGAUCAUUAAUGAAUUCACUAUGGAGUUGUUGCUGGCCUCUAGGGGCAUGUGCACGCUUCACUAGUCUUUCAACCACCUGUGAACUUUUGAUAGAUCUGUGAAGUCGUCUCUCAAGUCGUCAGACUUGGUUGCUGGGAUUUAAACGUCUCGGUGUGACUACGCAGUCUAUUUACUUACACACCCCAAAUGUAUGUCUACGAAUGUCAUUUAAUGGGCCUUGUGCCUUUAAACCAUAAUACAACUUUCAACAACGGAUCUCUUGGCUCUCGCAUCGAUGAAGAACGCAGCGAAAUGCGAUAAGUAAUGUGAAUUGCAGAAUUCAGUGAAUCAUCGAAUCUUUGAACGCACCUUGCGCCCCUUGGUAUUCCGAGGGGCAUGCCUGUUUGAGUGUCAUUAAAUUCUCAAACUCACUUUGGUUUCUUUCCAAUUGUGAUGUUUGGAUUGUUGGGGGCUGCUGGCCUUGACAGGUCGGCUCCUCUUAAAUGCAUUAGCAGGACUUCUCAUUGCCUCUGCGCAUGAUGUGAUAAUUAUCACUCAUCAAUAGCACGCAUGAAUAGAGUCCAGCUCUCUAAUCGUCCGCAAGGACAAUUUGACAAUUUGACCUCAAAUCAGGUAGGACUACCCGCUGAACUUAAGCAUAU
Molecule: ribosomal RNA, 686 nt
Filed under: Pleurotus sapidus
Lineage: Eukaryota; Fungi; Basidiomycota; Agaricomycetes; Agaricales; Pleurotaceae
Description: eukaryotic LSU rRNA
Rfam family: 5.8S ribosomal RNA (bases 285-438)
Source: RNAcentral